AUGUAUUGCUUUCACACUUGCAGAUUUUUUUUCUUUCUUUCCAUAUAAGUUUUGAAAGCAUUUGAGGCAGCAUCAAAAAUUUCAAGUAAUGUGCUUUAAGUACAUUUAAAAAGAAACAGAGGACAUCUAAGAACAUUUGUGGACAAUUACUAUUUUCCUUUUGACACUGGUGUCCACAACUGGGAUAGAAUACAACUCUGCAUGCUACUAACUUUGCAGA
Myotis myotis is the source of this 220-nucleotide long non-coding RNA. RefSeq lists it as uncharacterized. The transcript has 3 exons. NCBI's taxonomy places the organism in Eukaryota, Metazoa, Chordata, Mammalia, Chiroptera, Vespertilionidae. The record is from RefSeq and is a predicted model, not a curated record.